RNAcentral lists this long non-coding RNA (364 nucleotides) under Gossypium raimondii (Peruvian cotton). RNAcentral's name for it is "long non-coding RNA (GRAI_LNC000355)". Lineage: Eukaryota; Viridiplantae; Streptophyta; Magnoliopsida; Malvales; Malvaceae. The record is from RNAcentral.
UCCGUCCUUGUUACUUCACAUAAAUUCUAAGGAAUCCUUCGUUAAAUAUGGAAAUAGAAAUAUUCAUGUUUUUUCUAAGUAUAAGAUUUUGAAAGAACUUAUAUUAGAUUCUAAGUUAAUGAACGAUUGAAUUGCCAUGGAAUUUUUCCAGAAUAUUGCUAAACAUGAUUGUAAUAACCCAAAUUUGCCCGGCCCACAUAUAUUGCAAAAAAUAAAAAUAAAAAAAAUAAAAAAAUCCAAAUAAAUUAAAAAGUCCAAUAAUAUCAGUUCAGAUACAAUCCAAUACAAUAAGCCUGAUUUCUAAAUACCAAGGCCCAAAGUAUCAAACCUGAAAUAGACCCCAAACCCAAUUUUCAUAACCCGA